UGGACCGAAUGUGAGUUCUAGGUGUUUGCAUGCUUUCUUCAUAAUUAAAUGUUUAAGCUCUUAAGGAUGAAAUUAAAAAUAGACUAGCAGGUCUGUUAGGAAGCCUGAGCAGAGACCAUGCAGAGAUCCUGUGUUUAGCAAAUAUAUUGCUGAAGCUUUACAUCACAGACUGGCUUCUACUUUCACCAUUUCCAGGCAACUCUAUUUCUAACAGUGCUUCUCGGAAUCCUGUUUUCUGUAUCGCCUCAUUGAUGUUCUCUCUCCAGCAAAGAGGUUUUCUAAGUGAUGGAUGUGAGUUCCUUGGAGGUCUACCCUACAUCCUUGCCCAGGAAGGGCAGCCUUUGGUAUUAGUCCCAUCAUACCUGGUCCGGAAGAAGCGCCUCUGUAUGUCUACCGAGGCGCUAAGACAACCAAGAUGCAGUUCACAAUUGCUGGAGAAAAUAGGCUCCAAGAGUGGAACUCGGAUCUCUGAGGUCUCUUAAGCAAGACCUAGUCUUCAUACCUCUGAUGUAGAAAGAUGCAUGAGGGGACUUUCCAAGAUGACCCUCUGAGGAGUGCACUAAAAAGCUCUGGAGAGCUUGAGGCCUUUACUAUAGAGAGAGGAACAAAAGCUGAAGCAACUCUGGCACCUUGGAUAUGUUAAAUGGAGAGAAGACUUGUGUGAUGCAAGCAUCUACUGAAAUGCCCCCACUCACCCAGAAAGAUGCGCUCCACUGGUUCUUCCCUCUGUCCUAGUGAACUCAUUCAUCUUCCCAAUUGAUUUUUAUGGCAGUGGUUGCUGAAGGGGCCACAAAGCAUCCAACGAAGAGUACGUCUACAGAGAUGGUCCACGUUUCUGCAUCCAGGCUGUUUCCAAUGCAUCUUGCUCUGGAGCAAAGCAGGACUGGGCUGCCACAAGCCUGAUGAAGUUGCGAAGAAAGUCCCAGCUUCUCCAAGGGCCACAGGAGUGAGCCCUGCAAGAGAGUGUGGUGUCACCAGUGGGCCAUGAGUGCAUGGGAGUGCAUCAGAAAGGAGACAGGGGCCAGAGCCAGCAUGGCUGAACAGCUGUCCCAGAGGGACCUGCUUUGCUGCAGGAAGAUGCUGCCCAGGACACUAAGAUUUCUGUUGCUAGAGCUAAGCAUUACUUAGAGAUGAGAUGUGCCGCUGCUGCUUUGCUCUUGCCGUUUUGGAGAUUGGGGUCUGUCUGGCCAGGUCCAGGAAGAGGUGGGAAGGUGGACAGGCUUGCAGUACUGUUUGAAAAUUGCACAGACCUGUGGAGUUGGGAGAAGAAGGAAAACACCUUCAGGUAAAGGAAGGUUUCUUAGAUGGAUCGUGUCACAUAUUCAGAAGUUCAUUUGCAGCAGUUGUGACCUCUGAUGAAUGAUGGAGGGAGUGAAGGAUAAAACAGAAGGCAAAAACAAGGACCAGGAAUUAAUUUGGAUAUUUGAACUUUGAGUGGACUUUUUUUUUUCCCUUCCGCUGCAGGAAGAAGCUUUGAAUGUGGUGCCAGCACAGCACCAGGCGGUGUGAGAGGAACUGAGACAAGUACUUCUGAUACAAUCAGACAGAUUACAAAGCCCUCGCUGAAGGAGGCUUUCUGGCCAGCGCUUGCCACUAGAGGAUAAGCUUGGGGUUUUGUUGAGCCCUGUGUGAAUGACCCAUUAACUCCAGAGCAACUGGGAGGCCUUGAGUGUCUACGAGUGACAAACUGGGAGUGCAUGGCUACUUUGACUUCUUUUUUCUUUCAUGUUCCAAGUGCAAGAAAUGUACCAACAGCUGGUACUGAGACAGGCCAUUAGCUAAUGAAGUUAAGCUGUACUUGGCUCUUGCUCCAAUAAGAAAACUACAUUAGAGAUCUUGAAGCCUUGGCAUUAUAUAAAACCUUUCAGUGGGUUUUAUUUUAGUCUCACUGAGGUGAUGCUGCCAUGGACUGAGGAAUGCAUCAUGACUUUGCGCGAGAAUGAAGAGGCUGCAUAAGCUAAUCUUUGGCAGAGCUGGGAAUGGAUGCCACUUUCAUCAAACUGCUUCUUUACAUGUAUCAUUAGCAUACUUGGCUGGGACACCACUGCUCCUCCCACAGAUCAGAAGGACAUGGGAUGCCUCUUCCUGGAGCUCUACCUUCCCUCAGCUGUCCUAGGCUGGCUCUUAGGAGCUAUUGCUGCUGCAAUGGGCACCCACAUCUGCAGGCCACCAGGAACUGCAGAGCAGAGUUUCUGAGCCAUGGCACAGAGAAGCAGCAGGAUUGCUCUGCGGGGUGCCAGCUGCUCCAGCCUCAAAAGAGGCACUCCUGCUGCCAAGCCAUAAUGGACCACACCAGUCCUCCAGCUAUGCUGUCCUUUUCCCCAUCUGUGUCACAGCUGGGAAAUGACACACCAUUCCUGCUGCUUCAUGGGUUUUGCCUACACCCAGGAAAGAUACAACCCAUGAGUUCACUUGGGUUGCUGCCACCUUUGGGCUGUCAGGAUGGUGUGCAGAACAGCAGGAGCCAGAGACAAAAUCCAUACCACUGUCAUUCGUGUUGGGCAUCUUAUCGAUAUCAGAAAAAGGACCUGAAACUUCUAGGCAUUACUUUGUAUCAGAGCUUUGAGCUCAUGGAUGUCUUAGAUUUGGGAGAAGAAUGGAUGGUGAGUGUGUGAUGUACAUCUGCUACCUGCAGAGACUCUCAGGAGAGCAGUGUGGCAUAAUUCUGUGUCUGUUCACAAGCUGCAACACCAUGGCAUUCGGGGGAUGGCUGUGGUGAAACAGCGGUCAAGUUUUGUUGUCUCAUGUAGAAAGAGAUGAUGCCAGGCAGCUGGCAGCACAGGCUUUCACCUGCAAAUUGGUGUGAGAAAUCAGCUGGCACUGCCACUCCUGUUAACAGGCAGCAUUUGCUCCGUUACCUCUUGUCAUCUCCAUAACCAGAGUCUGAGGUUUCCAUGGCCUGCGGACCCCCAUUUGGUUGUACUGUCUGCCUACUCGGGCAAAUGUCUUAAUUUGUGUGCAGGCAAUGUUCUGAAUGCUAUAUCCAAAAAUGUGAUGCUUCAGUGUAAAAUGAGCAUUGCCUGCAGCGGAAUAAGUGGCUAGAAAACUUUGGCGCUCUGAGGCAUGCAGAGAGCAGGUGCCAGAGCGCAGUGAUCACCCAUUUUUCUAAACCAGCAACACUUACAGCCCUACUGACAGAGGUUGAUUCACACUAGAAAUAAAUCCAAUAUGCAUGAAAGGACUUUCGUUGUUCUUCAGCAGAGAGCAUAAAGAAAGACUGUCAGACAAACUAAUCUCUCUCUGAUAGUUUUCUUUUCAACAUCAUUGAACUGUCAUUUCUCCUGGUCUUUGCCAGAAUGCUUGAUAUAUCCGUUGUUUCCCAAAACAGACAGAUUUUGCUAGCUUGGGUGAUACAGGAAAUUUUGCCAGGAAGAGAGAGGCUGAGAUGCCUUUCCAGCCUUUUGCUAUUUUUGUGUAGAUCCUUUGCUACACUCCAGAGCUCUGGUUGGAGAUGAAAGGAAGGUAUCUUGGUGACUGAUUCAGUUGUAUCUGUGAGUGCAGCCAUGGAAUUGUUCCCAACACUUGCCCUGUGCUGGCAGCACGUUUGCUGGGGUUUUGGGAUUCUACUUUUUCUGGAAAUAAACCCAUUUAUGCUCCCAGAUCUUUCAUUUCAAAACUAGUGAUUCAAAGAAUGGCCCUAGGCACCACUGUGUCACCUAGCUGCAGUUAGAAAGUAGCCCAAACUAGAGAGUUCCUUUGUUUUUUUUCCCAGUUGUCCUGAGAGCUGGUAAAGCAUUCACUCCUUCUAGGCAUGUGUGAAUAGUCAGUAAGAUUACUAAAACUGAGAGGAAAAUAAAUCUAAAUGUCCCUUCUCAAGACUGUGAUGAAAGAUAUCUACACUGAGCAACCUCCUCCUCCAGCUGGGGACUCACUGAGGUGUCUGACAUAGGCAUGUAUGGUCAGUAAGGCUGCAUGUCCUCCACAAGCUCUUGCAGAGGAAUUUAGCAAAAAUGAGAUUCUGAAGAGGGGCAAACUGGAGGAGCCCAAACACCACCACGAUCUGGCAAAAUGAAUCCUACAUCCCGUUUGUAGUGAGCUCUAAUGUUAUUUUUUUUCUAACUGUGCUUCAACUAUCUACUCCCUAAGUUAUCCUGGAUAUCAAUACCAUUGAAGAAUUUAGGUUAUUACCUUCAGUGUUCAAUAUACCUCUUUUUUUCCCUUGGAAAAAGUGGUUUUUUUGGGUCCUCAGGGCAGCCAGUGAAUCUGUACAGAUCUGGAAGGGGCUGAAGAAUGGUGGUCCCAUUCUGUAGCUUGGAGUGGUUCGCUCUCUGUGUAACUGAAAGCACCACAUGAAUUAGUCAAUAUUUCCAUAUUUUCUUCCUAGUGCAGGGCUGCCAACAGUAUAAAGUAGGCAGAGUUUUGGGCUGUAAGAAAUGCUGGUUUAUUUGUUAGAAAUGUUUAAUGAUUGAUUGCCAGAUGGAUUUCAGCCCACACCCCUGCAGGGCAUAUGCACCAGAAUGCUCUCUUUGCCAUCGUACCAGGACCACCUGCAAGAGGUACCUUUUCUGUGUGGUGUGAUGCAUAUUCUACGGAGGACCUAGUAAGCAAACAUUUUGUAUGGAUAAAGUUGAACACAGUGUGCUGCAUGCAGAAUUUUGAAAGCUAACUGUUCCCAUGUUUUUUGACAGUGUGACUUUUAACAGUUUGUGUUAAAUGUGACUUAUACAGUUUUAAAAGUGUACAGGGAGAUUAGUGAUAACUAAAGAUAACACACAGUUAAAAAUAACGUGCAACAACAUUUAAAUCCAUGUAGGUUAAUCUGGACACAUUGAAGAGCAGUUUCUGAGUCAGUAAUUACUUAACUUGGCUGUGAUUAUUUUGUUUCAUUUCCAGAUUAACUACAGAUAUUUGUCUAAACUGGGUGGCUGCUGAGAUUUUAAAAGUGGGAGCAGGAAACUUUGCAGUCAGUUUUACAACACAAUUAAUUGCUCAUCCUUUCAGAACUGAUUCUUUCCCCACCAUUUCACACCUGCCCAACACCAUGACCGAAGUCCGCAAACACUUGUCCACUUGCAUGUCCUCCAUACAUGAACAGGCCCAUGGGGCUCAUUUUCAUUAGAUACAACUUUGCUAACUAUAAAUCUUCUGCAGCACGAAGGCCACACCACAUAUACAUAUUCUUACUCUGCACUUCAAGAUUCUUUUCAUCCUAUUGUAUGUUGUUUGGGGUUGUACAAGUUGUUAGGUACAAAUUUCUUCUUAGUCUGGUAGGAGCACCAGUUUGCAUCAUAGUUUGUCUUCUCACAUCUGCAAGGUAUUUGUCCAAUACCUGAGAUGUCCAAGAACAUCUCAGACUUGAUCUAUGAUGGUCUGUGCAUUGCUAACGUCUGUACUCUAAGGAAGUGUACCGCUGUUACUGAUGUACUGCAUGGAUGACUGAUGGUGUAGAUCUAAAGUUAACUAGGUGUUCUCUCUAAAGGCGACAUAUGAUAUUAUAUUUGGGCAAAGAGGAAUUCCCUGCAUAAUCUUUAGAGACAGAUGUAUUACAUUUUAUGAUUUCUCUGGUAUUUAUGCAGGGUUACAGAAAUACAGUUAAAAGGCUUUAAAUUUUUCCAGUUCUGUAUUCUGAUUGCAUGUACAGCUACUUAUUUUCUAAUAAACAGGAUCUCAGUUGAAAAAAAUGUACAACCUUCACUCCUUGACCUUCCCACUUUUGAAUCUGCAGUUUCCUUAGAUGCCUCCAUGAAGCACCUACAGCUGGUUAAGAGGUUUGACAUAUCCAACAUCAUGUAAAUGGGUGUGUCUGUGGGAGUUAGGAAGCAAGUCUUCCUCUGAACUUGCUCCAUCUCUUAUUUUCUUCCAUAGCUCUUAGAAAAGGGUCUGUCUUUUCUUAAUCCCUGUCUGUGGAGAGAGAGUUUCAUGUUCUCACUGUGCUGCCAUACUUAUCUGAGAUGCUUUUUCCAAAUCCUAGCCAUAGGUUGCUCCAUCUUUACCUUGUCUAUAGUUUAGCCCUUUCACUUUCAGCUGUCUCCACAGAGUGUUGGUGGUAGUCUGCAUAACAAGAAAUUAGGUUAUGAAAAAGUAUAUAUUA
Molecule: non-coding RNA, 6031 nt
Organism: Phalacrocorax carbo (great cormorant)
Lineage: Eukaryota; Metazoa; Chordata; Aves; Suliformes; Phalacrocoracidae
Source: RefSeq, a predicted model, not a curated record